Long non-coding RNA from Sus scrofa (pig), 1268 nucleotides. RefSeq lists it as uncharacterized. The record is from RefSeq and is a predicted model, not a curated record. Lineage: Eukaryota; Metazoa; Chordata; Mammalia; Artiodactyla; Suidae.
CAACAUGCUUGCUAUUUAUAGGGAAUUGCCUUGGGGAAACUAGCUCCAAAGAGGAGGAUAGAUUGCUCCGAGGAAAACUGGAUAUGAGUGAAUGGGGACUCUUCAAAGCAUCCAUUUUGCUAAAUCUGCUCCCAACAAUCAAAGCCAGCCUGCUAAUUUGAAAUUAGAGAGAAUGUGGAUGGAUUUUCAACUUCUCUCAGAAUACAGGGGAAGGACCAUCUGUUAGGAUUAACUGGGUAUGUAAAUCCCUUUUGACUCAUCUUCUCUGACAACGGGGGUGGAAGAGUAACUGGUCCACCACAGCAUUCUCUGGAUUCCCAGUAAGAAAUAGACUUUCCCUCUGAGAAGUCCAUCAGUUAAUAUUAACAAGGAGAAAGAGAAAGAACCACUCAGCAGGAAGCUCUGAAUUUUCCCAAGUCAAGAGAUCAUCAAGGAAGGAGUCUGGCUGUAAAGUACACCUCUCUUCCUCUGAUGAGAGUGACAACUGGGGUGACUGGAAUCAGAGGGCAGCCUGCCCUCCUUUGGCAAACAAACACCCACUCUGGUAAGUGCCUUUUAAUGUGCAUCAAGUCUGUGUCUAGGAAAAGGAUGCACAGUUGGCAAGUACAGAGCUGUAAGGGGAUCGCUUUGACAUGCUGAUAAAGCUUCUUGGUUUACUUUGGACUUGGCUUUAUCAUUUACUGAAGGAUAUUAUUAGUGUGGAGAACGAUAGCUGUUUUCUGACUUCUCGAACAAAAGCCGGUGAAAUGUAUAGGAACAAAAGGUCUGUUAUGGAGAAUCCUACCCUGUUUGUUCAGUGACUUUGGGAUCCUAAUCAUACAACUUAACCGAGAUAAGACCUGGAGCAGAGGAAAAGAGCCCACCCAGCUGGGGGGCCCCCAGGAAAACGAAUGAAAAUCGGUUGUGUUAAAAAUGGAAGAUCAUCCAACUCUCAGCAUGUGUGUAGUUUUCCUUAUUGUAAAUAUGGUAUUACAAAAAUAGAUUUGCUCUUUGGAGCCAGAUGGCACGCAAUACGUCUGAAGUUAAAUCCAGCCUUAUGACAAUGGUCAUGGCCAACAAGGAACCACUUGGACUGUGAUGCCAAACUUUCAGUUCUCUGCGAGUCCUCUCCAUCAAGUAAACACUUCUGAACCUCUUUGAGUACAAGGAACUUGCCUCUUGACCACCAUGUGACUGCUGUUUUGGUGGGGUAAUUUUUUGUUUGUUUUGUGUUUGUGUUUCAUCUGCCUCAUUCUCGUUUGAGAAUAAAAUAGUCAAUAACGCAUAAA